This 84-nucleotide transfer RNA is filed under the name Ancrocorticia populi. It matches the Rfam family "tRNA". From Rfam's summary of the family: Transfer RNA (tRNA) molecules are approximately 80 nucleotides in length. Their secondary structure includes four short double-helical elements and three loops (D, anti-codon, and T loops). The record is from Rfam by way of RNAcentral. Lineage: Bacteria; Bacillati; Actinomycetota; Actinomycetes; Actinomycetales; Actinomycetaceae.
GCUCCUGUGGUGGAAUUGGUAGACACACUGCACUCAAAAUGCAGCGCCCUUGCGGGCAUGCGGGUUCGAGUCCCGCCGGGAGCA